GAUGAACGCUGGCGGCGUGCCUAAUACAUGCAAGUCGAGCGAACAGACGAGGAGCUUGCUCCUCUGACGUUAGCGGCGGACGGGUGAGUAACACGUGGAUAACCUACCUAUAAGACCGGGAUAACUUCGGGAAACCGGAGCUAAUACCGGAUAAUAUAUUGAACCGCAUGGUUCAAUAGUGAAAGACGGUUUUGCUGUCACUUAUAGAUGGAUCCGCGCCGCAUUAGCUAGUUGGUAAGGUAACGGCUUACCAAGGCAACGAUGCGUAGCCGACCUGAGAGGGUGAUCGGCCACACUGGAACUGAGACACGGUCCAGACUCCUACGGGAGGCAGCAGUAGGGAAUCUUCCGCAAUGGGCGAAAGCUUGACGGAGCAACGCCGCGUGAGUGAUGAAGGUCUUCGGAUCGUAAAACUCUGUUAUUAGGGAAGAACAAAUGUGUAAGUAGCUAUGCACGUCUUGACGGUACCUAAUCAGAAAGCCACGGCUAACUACGUG
RNAcentral lists this ribosomal RNA (497 nucleotides) under uncultured bacterium. Its description in RNAcentral is "partial 16S ribosomal RNA". It matches the Rfam family "Bacterial small subunit ribosomal RNA", at positions 28 to 507 of the family's 1533-position model. The record is from RNAcentral.